RNAcentral lists this non-coding RNA (958 nucleotides) under Phyllodactylus unctus (San Lucan gecko). RNAcentral's name for it is "12S ribosomal RNA". It matches the Rfam family "Bacterial small subunit ribosomal RNA". Lineage: Eukaryota; Metazoa; Chordata; Lepidosauria; Squamata; Phyllodactylidae. The record is from RNAcentral.
CACCGUUUUGGUCCUAAACUUACUGUUGUUUUUCGCGAUCACUACACAUGCAAGCAUCCGCACCCCCGUGCCAAAACCCACCACCUUAACCCCUAAGCCUGGAGCCGGUAUCAGGCACGCUUUUAAGCAGCCAACAACACCCAGCCAUGCCACCCCCCCACGGACCCCAGCAGUGACAGACAUUAAGCCAUGAGUGCCCACCUUAUAAAGCUCGACUUAGCCACCGCUCUAAUAGGGCCGGUUAAUUCCGUGCCAGCCACCGCGGUUAUACGGAAGGCCACAAACAACAACCCCACGGCGUAAACUGUGACUAGAACAGCACUUUGGCCCGGGGACAGCAAUUUAAGUAUAGUUGUAAAAUACACAUACAUAUAAGAACCCCCUCCCUAAACCAAAGCCCCUUUGACCUCACGAAAGCUAAGACAUAAACUAGGAUUAGAUACCCUACUAUACUUAGCCGUAAACCUAGGUGGGCCCUACACCUCGCCCGCCCGCCAGAGAACUACGAGUGAAAAACUUGAAACUCUAAGGACUUGACGGUGCCCCACACCUCCUAGAGGAGCCUGUCCUACAAUCGAUGCUCCACGUUAAACCUCCCCCCCCCUCGUUAAAACAGCCUAUAUACCGCCGUCGUCAGCCUGCCUAAUGAUAGCACCACAGCAAGCAAAAUAGUCUCACCACUAAUACGUCAGGUCAAGGUGUAGCUCAUGGGGGGGUAAGAGAUGGGCUACAUUGUCUAACUACUAGACAACUUACCGUAGGCCAUGUGAAACCCCGGCCGACCGGAGGAUUUAGCAGUAAAUGCCGGCAAGAAUGCCCAAUUGAAGGCGGCCCUGGGGCGCGCACACACCGCCCGUCACCCUCCUCAAAACCCACCACUAAAUAACUAAACCACACUUUAAUCACAAGACGAGGCAAGUCGUAACAUGGUAAGCCCACCGGAAGGCGGGCUUGGCCC